RNA transcript from Homo sapiens (human), 3111 nucleotides. RefSeq lists it as uncharacterized. Lineage: Eukaryota; Metazoa; Chordata; Mammalia; Primates; Hominidae. The transcript has a single exon. The record is from RefSeq and is a predicted model, not a curated record.
CAUUGUUGGUCUCCCCACAUCCAUAUAGAAGUUCAUUAAUUGAAAUGACUUAUUUUCUUUUAUUGAACUGCUUUUAUUGAAAACCCAUUUAUUGACCGUAUAGCUGUGGAUCAAUUUCAGGUCUUCUAACUCAGGCUGUUUAUCCGUUUGUCACUCCUGAUGCCUUGUGUCUAAUAGCUUAUAGUAAACCUUAAAGUCAGAUAGUACAAGUCCUUGUUCUUUUCCACACAUUGCAAUAAAUUUUGAAAUAGAUAAUAACUCAUGAAACCAUCACACACAUCAGGAUAUGCUGUCACUUCAUCCCUUUCUGAUAUAGUUUGGCCGUGCCCUCACCCAAAUCUCAACUUCAAUUGUAUCUCCCAGAAUUCCCAUGUGUUGUGGGAGGGACUUAGCAGGAGGUAAUUGAAUCAUGGGGGCGGGUCUUUCCUGUGCUAUUCUCCUGAUAGCGAGUAAGUCUCACUAACUGAUGGGUUUCUCAGGGGUUUCUGCUUUGGCUUCUUCCUCAUUUUCUCUUGCUGCUGCCUUGUAAGAAGUGCCUUUUGCCUCCCGCCAUGAUUCUGAGGCCUCCCCAGUCACAUGGAAAUGGAAGUCCAAUUAAACCUCUUUUUGGUCCUGGACUCUGUUAUGUAUUUGUCAGCAGCAUGAAAACGGACUAAUACACUCUCAUUUCUGAGUGGGACACAUGCUGUCACUCACAUAUGCUGGUUGCUGACUUGUGACGGAAGAUUCUCUAUUGUACCCUCUGGGGACAAUACAUCUCCAGUUGCCUGCGGGGAGGAUGAACAUGCAAAAAAUCCACAACACUCAGCACAGAGUCUGGAUUUAGUCCCAUUAGUCUGAAUGGGACUAAUGCCCUUAUAAAAGGGACCCUGGGGAGCUCUCUCGCCCUCUUUCUGCCCCCUGAGGAUACAAUGAGAAGGUGGCAGUCUACAACCAGACCAAAGGUCCUCACCAUAACCCUACCACGUCGGCACCUUGAUCUCGGACUUCCAACCUCCAGAACUGUGAGAAAUCAAUUUCUGUUGUGAAUCAGCCACCCAGUUUAUGGUACAUUGUUAUAGAAGCCCGAACUAAGACAGAGAUGAAGUCCCGUGCAGGGUCUCUAAUUUGCUAAGCUGGUCAUCAGGCGGGAUAUUGCCAGUCAGAAACAGGAAGAGCUGACAUUUUGUGUAUAUGAAAGAAGAUAGUGGACAGGCCCAUUGUGUCAGCUUUGUCCGCCUUGGCAAACUGGAGACGGAAACUCGAUUCACCAUCGCCAGCCACGGGAGGACUGGGAGGACCUCCAGAGGAGGUUAGGUCGACUUCAUGGUAACUUUAGAUCCGGAAACCUCCCAGGAUAUUUCUUGUCUUCCCUUUGAUCUCUCUUCCACCUACCCAACAGGACAGGACUCGCCGCCUUUCUUUCCCGGCAGAAAGGGGUCCGUUGCGGACAAGACCAAAGUGAGCAGCUGGUUUCCCCUACGUGUCCUUCCGGGCCUGGGCGUCUCGGGAACUCAGGCUGACCCGACACCUAACUCCCGGCGAGUGGGACCAGCAGGAGCCUGGAAGAGCGCGCGCACCGAGGUGGAAGUUGGGCACCGGGGGUCGAGAACCGCGGUCAAACCCUCUUCUUCCAGGGGCACCGCGCACCUGCCCCCGGGGAUGCCGAAGGAAGUGACCCAUAAAGCUUCUCUGCAACCGAAAGAGGCCUGAAGCUCCAGGAGGGCCGAGAGGAGCCUCGUUGAGCGAACCCAGCCCUCUGCCUGGCUGGCCCUGGUCAACAGGCUCGGAAGAGGCCGAUUUGGAGGACAGAACGGAAGAAAAGACCUAAAGGUUUCGAAUCUCAUGACGCAGAGAUGCUAAAAAUCUCCAAUCCUAAGGUCCGACUGUGCGGGGGAGCGAGGGGGUCUCAAGCUGGAUUGACCCCGAGCCUUCAUCUGGAGAGUCCUCUGCACAAGCUCAGACAGCAGGACAACGCGCAUCAGUGGUUCUCAAGAGGGGGCAACUUCGCCCUUACACGCCUCUCCCAUCCCCGCUGGGACACUAGGUCACGAAUGGGGGAAGCGGGGAGGGAGAAUGCUAACCCCCUGGCAUGUAUCUAGUCAGCGGAGGCGACGGCUGCUGCUAAACACCUUACAAUCCACGGGAGGGCCCCUCCCCUACCCCGAAGUAGCCAUUCCGCAGAGGUGGAGAGACUCGCGUGUAGCUCAAUGCCCACGCACUUAGCCGAUGGGAAAUCACGAAUUGAUGACCAGUUGGCUCUUGGAUCUGAGGAAAAAUCUCCAGCGUCAGAGGGAACUCUCGAAGUUUUGCCCGGAGCAAACGGAAGGGUGGCGUUGCCAUCGCCUAAGAUGGGAAAAUGGCAGGUGUCACAGGUUGCAGGGGAAGGUCGGAGACCAGCUGAGGGCCCCGGAGCCUUCCUGGAAAGAGUUUCCCAUCCAGCCCGUCUCGGUUUCCGCAUCCGUCUGAUUCCUUAUGACGUUGAGGGUGCUGGCGUCUGGGUCCUUUAUGAUGCAGAGGGUGCCCCCGUCUCACCCCGGGCGCCUCCGCGCUCUCGCCUCCUCCUGGCAACCUGGUGCGCGACUCCGGACCUGGCGACCCACGACCGGCUGGUCACUUGCUGCCACCUCGCAAAGGCGCAUCUCUAGUCCAGUGGUGAGCUGCGGCCGGGUCGCUGCAACUCGCUCCAGGCCUCCGGACUCGUGGCCUCGGUGUCUCUCGCGGAGCCCUCGGUGUGUCGCUUGCAGGCUCUUUUUUUGAAGAAAGCAGGGAGGGAAUGGCCUUGUGAGAGACUCCAGGAGCAAAGAGCGACCCUCACAAGGCCCAAGUCCUCCCAGAGCUCAGGGAAGCUGUCGCUUCUGACAGAAGAAGGGAGACAAAGCUCCCUCCUGCGAGUCCCUGGUGGUCUAGUGGCUAGGAUUCGGCGCUUUCACCGCCGCGGCCCGGGUUCGAUUCCCGGUCAGGGAAUUGUUUUACACUGGCCGCCCUCCCGCAGGAAUCUUCCUUCACUACGCUGUCAGCCGGCCUGCUCCAAGGGCCAGAAGCAGAACAGUCUCCGCAGCGGGGUUAAAGCCGGACGAAGGAGGGCAAGUGCUGGUGGACCACCUCUCACGACACACCGUUCCUGUUUAU